AUGUUUAUCCUUCUAUUAAAAAUGUAUUUUUUUUUAUUGGAGAAGGGGGCUUCAAUGGCAGAGAUAGUAGGAAGAAGAAAAGUUAUCUACCAUAAAAAAGGUCACAUGACAUGCAUGACGAUCCUAAGGUUACAUGUUAGCCAUGUUUUUAAAGGAAAGGGUUCCAAUAAAAAAAAGUCUCGCUAUGGCAGGAAAACGAGUAGUAAGGGGAGGGCCCGGCAGAAAAAAAAGAGACCAUGUGUUGGUGAUAACAGUCGGAUAGUCUGGACAACCAUAUUUCUUCUCCAGAGUAAUGCUACAUCUACGUGA
This 309-nucleotide ribosomal RNA is filed under the name Triticum aestivum (bread wheat). RNAcentral's name for it is "partial small subunit ribosomal RNA". Lineage: Eukaryota; Viridiplantae; Streptophyta; Magnoliopsida; Poales; Poaceae. The record is from RNAcentral.